CCUCACUGGUGCUUAGUUCCUGAACUCUGUAUAGGACAUCCAUAGGAACUAGAAGGCACGCACACUCCCACCUCCCCCUCCUUACUCAUUCUCUUUCCUUUCUACACACAAGCCUAGGGAGAGCAGGCUUAAUUCAUCCCACACUCAACGUUCCCCCCAAGUCACUAUACAAUGUAAUUGUACCCAACUCAGGAUCUGGAUUCAAAGUCAGUUUCUUAUAAAUGCAAAUACACGACAGCUAUCCAAAUUAUUUUUGAAAUUUUCUGAAAUUGUCCUUCAGUUGCUAGGACCAGGGUCCUUAGAAGCCCGAAAGUCCAAGUUUCACUUCUUCCUUUUGCGUGUUGCAUGCUGCCUCCCGUUCCUUGGCCUAGUCAAGGUGUAAUUGGAGCAUCAGAUAAGGACAGUGGGUCUCUCCCUCCCUCCCCCUUCUUCCUGCUCCUCUUCCUCCUCAUUCGUUUCUCCCCACUCCACCCAAGGGCCUUGAGUUGAAUGUUGAACACGAACUGCCCUGACACAGGUGCUGACCUGUGACCCCAUCCAUUGCCAAGUAGGCAGGCAGUGGUGGCGGUGGGGGGUGGACAUCAGCUUGUGCCUCCUCUAGACCAGAAAUUUCUUUGCCUUGUGAUCCUGACCCUCUGACUUUCUUCACCCUGGAUGCCCAUCUUGCCCACUUGUCUGGCCCACCUAUGUGGCCCACUGUGGAGUAACACGCAGCACCCCACACUCCUCCUCAGGCCAAAACCCCACCCAGGACAAGGUCCCUCUCCUCAGGCCUCAGCUCUGCCUUGUCUGUGGGGUCACCACACAAGCCUUGCUCUCCACUCCCUCCAGUCAGAAGCAGCUGGUUCUUCUUUCUCAGCAUCCUGUUAGGCCUCCAAGGCCUUGGCUUGGUUGCCAAGGUUACCUCUCAGUUUCCUGACCACAUGUGGAACACUGAGGUGAAGCCAUUCUGCUAGCAGAGGCUGGGCUGAGGUAUUCUAGAAAGAUGACGUCAGCUCACUCCCACAUUACCUCACUGGUGACAGCUUCACUCUUCUGCCCAGAGCUGAUAAGAAACACCACCCUGGGAAGACCAGGCCCCUCUCUUCCCCACUUCCUAAUCAGGCUGGAAAUAGUGUCAAAUAUAUUCAUCACUCUUUACGAGCAUCACUGGGUCGUGUCCAGGACGUCUUCUGGGUUCCCUGUCAGCUUACAAAGUCGUACCUCUCCAGAGCAGCCCUAGGCCAGCCUGUUUGGGCUGUAAACAGUCAGCAACAGGAAUCAAUGACAGAAGAGAACGACAUUGACCUUCGAACCUGUUCAUGAAGAUUGUAUGAAACUGAGGAUGUUCGCUCUUUUAAAAAUUUCUGUCUUAAAAAAAAAAAAAAAUUCUGUCUUUAAACCCCUU
RNAcentral lists this long non-coding RNA (1387 nucleotides) under Mustela putorius furo (domestic ferret). Its description in RNAcentral is "lncRNA (ENSMPUG00000031652.1)". Lineage: Eukaryota; Metazoa; Chordata; Mammalia; Carnivora; Mustelidae. The record is from RNAcentral.